This is a small nucleolar RNA of Myripristis murdjan (pinecone soldierfish), 131 nucleotides long. Ensembl annotates it as small nucleolar RNA ACA64. The record is from Ensembl. Lineage: Eukaryota; Metazoa; Chordata; Actinopteri; Holocentriformes; Holocentridae.
ACAGACUGAAAAUGGUCCCAGGUGUAUCAGUGAUCUGGGGUCAGACAACUGUGCCUAAAGUAGUGUGGCAUAUUAAGCUUAUCAUCUACCACUCGUCUUGGCAGUGUGAUAAAACCCAUCUGCCAACAAAA